AGACAUAUCAUCUGGGGAUCUUGUUAAAAAUGCUGAUUCAGUGUCAGGUGGGACCCAAGAUUCUUAACAGGCUUUCAGGUGAUGCCAGU
RNAcentral lists this microRNA precursor (89 nucleotides) under Marmota monax (woodchuck). The record is from RNAcentral. Lineage: Eukaryota; Metazoa; Chordata; Mammalia; Rodentia; Sciuridae.